GACACAGGAAACUGCUGUUGGAGGUAAGGAUCGCAGUCUUUUGUGUUAUUGUUUUAAAUUGGUUUGAGAUUUAUUGCCUUAUUUUGAUGAAUUAAAUUAAAAUGAGUGUUUACUGGUAAUUAGUAUCUAAGUUCUGUUCCGUACAUACGAGUGGUGUGAUGGCUGAAAUCAUUUAUGAAUUUGAUGCUUAUUAAAGUGGAAAGUGUGAGUAUUGAUAUUCUCAUGAAAAACUUCGUCGAAUUUGAUAAUCUGAUGAUCAAGGCUUUGUUAGAACCAUAAUUGAAUACUAAUGACAAUAACAAUUGUUGAGAAAGCAAUAUAUUUGGUGCUGGAGGAAAUGCAUACCAUGAAGGGCUAGAGAGCAGUUGAGAUUUUAUUUCGGGAUGUGAACAUAAGUAAACACUGUAAAGGCAUAAAAAUUUUCCAAUCUAUUUGUUUUAGUUUCUUGUUGUUCAAGCCCAAGGCCAAGCCCAGUUUGAUGGUAGCCAGCUACCCUAUGAUAUCAGAUGGUAACUAACCUAAACUAAGGGGAAAAUUAUUAAGCAUAGAAUGGAAAUAA
Molecule: unclassified non-coding RNA, 559 nt
Filed under: Hevea brasiliensis (rubber tree)
Lineage: Eukaryota; Viridiplantae; Streptophyta; Magnoliopsida; Malpighiales; Euphorbiaceae
Source: RNAcentral